This 246-nucleotide non-coding RNA is filed under the name Bombilactobacillus mellis. Its description in RNAcentral is "Lactobacillus mellis T-box sequence". It matches the Rfam family "T-box leader". Rfam says of the family: Uncharged tRNA acts as the effector for transcription antitermination of genes in the T-box leader family. The record is from RNAcentral. Lineage: Bacteria; Bacillati; Bacillota; Bacilli; Lactobacillales; Lactobacillaceae.
AAAAAUGCUGAGAACAGAUGAGUAAAUAUUAGUUACAUUUACAGAGAACCACUGGUGAUGAGAAGUGGAAUGCCAACAAUGUUGAAGAUGGUCUGGGAGCAAAUCGAGUGAUGAAUUAAUCUUAAUCAUUCGCGGUUGACACCUGAUAGCGCGGUCCAAGUAUAGCUUUGUUUGUGUACUUGUCGAGGAUAGUAUUGUGAAAUACUAUUAAAUUUGGGGUGGUAACACGCGAAAAGCGUCCCUUAU